RNAcentral lists this transfer RNA (64 nucleotides) under Hypothenemus sp. BMNH 1039866. RNAcentral's name for it is "tRNA-Phe". Lineage: Eukaryota; Metazoa; Arthropoda; Insecta; Coleoptera; Curculionidae. The record is from RNAcentral.
ACUUAAAUAGCUUAUGUUUAGAGCGUGGUUUUGAAGCAGCUAGGGAGAUGUUUAUCUUUAAGUA